This 1384-nucleotide ribosomal RNA is filed under the name uncultured beta proteobacterium. RNAcentral describes it as "bacterial SSU rRNA". It matches the Rfam family "Bacterial small subunit ribosomal RNA". Lineage: Bacteria; Pseudomonadati; Pseudomonadota; Betaproteobacteria. The record is from RNAcentral.
AUGACGCUGGCGGCAUGCCUUACACAUGCAAGUCGAACGGCAGCAUGAUCUAGCUUGCUAGAUUGAUGGCGAGUGGCGAACGGGUGAGUAAUACAUCGGAACGUGCCCUGUAGUGGGGGAUAACUAGUCGAAAGAUUAGCUAAUACCGCAUACGACCUGAGGGUGAAAGUGGGGGAUCGCAAGGCCUCAUGCUAUAGGAGCGGCCGAUGUCUGAUUAGCUAGUUGGUGGGGUAAAGGCCCACCAAGGCGACGAUCAGUAGCUGGUCUGAGAGGACGAUCAGCCACACUGGGACUGAGACACGGCCCAGACUCCUACGGGAGGCAGCAGUGGGGAAUUUUGGACAAUGGGGGCAACCCUGAUCCAGCAAUGCCGCGUGUGUGAAGAAGGCCUUCGGGUUGUAAAGCACUUUUGUCCGGAAAGAAAUCGCACUUACUAAUAUUAGGUGUGGAUGACGGUACCGGAAGAAUAAGGACCGGCUAACUACGUGCCAGCAGCCCGCGGUAAUACGUAGGGUCCAAGCGUUAAUCGGAAUUACUGGGCGUAAAGCGUGCGCAGGCGGUUGUGCAGACCGAUGUGAAAUCCCCGGGCUUAACCUGGGAAUUGCAUUGGUGACUGCACGCUAGAGUGUGUCAAAGGGGGGUAGAAUUCCACGUGUACCAGUGAAAUGCGUANAGAUGUGGAGGAUACCGAUGGCGAAAGCAGCCCCUGGAUACACUGACGGUCAUGCACGAAAGCGUGGGAGCAACAGAUUAGAUACCCUGGUAGUCCACGCCCUAACGAUGUCAACUAGUGUGGGACUCAUUUCCUUAGUAACGUAGCUAACGCGUGAAGUUGACCGCUGGGGAGUACGGUCGCAAGAUUAAAACUCAAAGGAAUUGACGGGGACCCGCACAAGCGGUGGAUGAUGUGGAUUAAUUCGAUGCAACGCGAAAAACCUUACCUACCCUUGACAUGCCACUAACGAAGCAGAGAUGCAUUAGGUGCUCGAAAGAGAAAGUGGACACAGGUGCUGCAUGGCUGUCGUCAGCUCGUGUCGUGAGAUGUUGGGUUAAGUCCCGCAACGAGCGCAACCCUUGUCUCUAGUUGCUACGAAAGGGCACUCUAGAGAGACUGCCGGUGACAAACCGGAGGAAGGUGGGGAUGACGUCAAGUCCUCAUGGCCCUUAUGGGUAGGGCUUCACACGUCAUACAAUGGUGCAUACAGAGGGUUGCCAAGCCGCGAGGUGGAGCUAAUCCCAGAAAAUGCAUCGUAGUCCGGAUCGUAGUCUGCAACUCGACUACGUGAAGCUGGAAUCGCUAGUAAUCGCGGAUCAGCAUGCCGCGGUGAAUACGUUCCCGGGUCUUGUACACACCGCCCGUCACACCAUGGGAGUGGGUUUUGCC